Molecule: long non-coding RNA, 309 nt
Filed under: Lathyrus oleraceus (garden pea)
Lineage: Eukaryota; Viridiplantae; Streptophyta; Magnoliopsida; Fabales; Fabaceae
Description: Pisum sativum (pea) long non-coding RNA (PSAT_LNC018813)
Source: RNAcentral
UUUUCGUCCUCGAAAACAUACCUCAAGCGAACAACUCCGGAUAAGACUCCUUCAUCUUACUCUCCAGUUCCCAAGUCACAUUGCCACCUGCUGGUCCUCCCCAAGCUACCUUCACCAAGGCAAUCUCUUUACCCCGCAACUGCUUCAACUCUCGAUCCUCGAUCCUCAUAGGUGAUGUUUCAACAGUCAGGUUAUCUCUCACCUGUACAUCAUCUACUUGGACUACAUGCGACGGAUCAUGAAUGUACCUCCUCAACUGAGACACAUGAAAAACCUCAUGCAAAUUCGCAAGCGACGGCGGUAAAGCGA